CAGCACUAAAAGCAUACACAACAAAGAAAACGACACAAACUUACCACUGUUAUUUUUAGGCCUGUUGGAACAUUAACACUCACCGUCAAGUAACAUGGAGUAGUGCAUCCCCAACAAUCGCGGUUUCGGUGAACAUAUUUUCUCUGCCCUUACUGUCUUCAGAUCUCCAGAUCGGGUCUCGUAACGUUAUGGUCUUCCAUGAAACAGACAAUCUGAGUGAUACAAAUGGUCCGAGAACCAGAUACAUGGAGACACAACAGUCCUGCGUCCCAUGUAAGAUUCCUCUUAGUGUAGGGAACGCUCUGUGAGGGCAAGAAUUGCUGACUAAUCCAAGUAAUGGCAGUAAGAAGCCUGAGGGAGGUGAUGUGCUUCACAUAACAACUUCACGAGAUGCAAGUUAACAAGUGGCAUCACGUCCUAUCAGUG
This is a long non-coding RNA of Cryptotermes secundus, 426 nucleotides long. RefSeq lists it as uncharacterized. The record is from RefSeq and is a predicted model, not a curated record. The transcript has 3 exons. Lineage: Eukaryota; Metazoa; Arthropoda; Insecta; Blattodea; Kalotermitidae.